Molecule: unclassified non-coding RNA, 256 nt
Filed under: Hevea brasiliensis (rubber tree)
Lineage: Eukaryota; Viridiplantae; Streptophyta; Magnoliopsida; Malpighiales; Euphorbiaceae
Source: RNAcentral
AGAUGUGCCUCACUUGACUGAUUACAUCCCUAAUAUUCCUAUUUUUGAUAAUCCCUUGCGGUCUAAUCCAGCAUACUCAGUGGUGAAGCAGUACUUUGUCGACAUGGAUGAUACAGUUCCUCAGAAGAUAGUUGUUCAUAAGGACAGUCAGCGAGGAGUACAUUUUCGGCGUGCUGGUCCCCGUCAGAAGGUUUAUUUCAAUUCAGAUGAUGUCCGUGCUUGUAUUGUAACAUGUGGUGGUUUGUGCCCUGGGCUA